Molecule: ribosomal RNA, 253 nt
Filed under: uncultured bacterium
Lineage: Bacteria
Description: partial 16S ribosomal RNA
Rfam family: Bacterial small subunit ribosomal RNA
Source: RNAcentral
GACAGAGGUGGCGAGCGUUGUUCGGAAUCACUGGGCUUAAAGGGCGCGUAGGUGGUAGUGUAAGUCUGAGGUGGAAUCCUGCGGCUUAACCGCAGAACUGCCUUGGAAACUGCAUUACUUGAGUCAGUGAGGGGAGGGUAGAAUUCCCGGUGUAGCGGUGAAAUGCGUAGAUAUCGGGAGGAAGGCCUGUGGCGAAGGCGGCCCUCUGGCGCUGGACUGACACUGAGGCGCGAAAGCGUGGGGAGCAAACAGG